UCUACGGGUGGCAGCAGUGAGGAAUAUUGGUCAAUGGGCGUAAGCCUGAACCAGCCAAGUCGCGUGAGGGAUGAAGGUUCUAUGGAUCGUAAACCUCUUUUAUAAGGGAAUAAAGUGUGGGACGUGUCCUAUUUUGUAUGUACCUUAUGAAUAAGGAUCGGCUAACUCCGUGCCAGCAGCCGCGGUAAUACGGAGGAUCCGAGCGUUAUCCGGAUUUAUUGGGUUUAAAGGGUGCGUAGGCGGCCGUUUAAGUCAGCGGUGAAAGUCUGUGGCUCAACCAUAGAAUUGCCGUUGAAAAUGGGGGGCUUGAGUGUGUUAGAGGCAGGCGGAAUGCGUGGUGUAGGGGUGAAAUGCGUAGAUAUCACGCAGAACCCCGAUUGCGAAGGCAGCCUGCCAGGCCAUGACUGACGCUGAUGCACGAAAGCGUGGGGAUCAAACAGGAUUAGAUACCCCUGUAGUC
RNAcentral lists this ribosomal RNA (460 nucleotides) under uncultured bacterium. RNAcentral's name for it is "partial 16S ribosomal RNA". It matches the Rfam family "Bacterial small subunit ribosomal RNA", at positions 338 to 795 of the family's 1533-position model. The record is from RNAcentral.